AUUGAACGCUGGCGGCAGGCUUAACACAUGCAAGUCGAGCGGGGUGAUGGUGCUUGCACUAUCACUUAGCGGCGGACGGGUGAGUAAUGCUUAGGAAUCUGCCUAUUAGUGGGGGACAACAUCUCGAAAGGGAUGCUAAUACCGCAUACGUCCUACGGGAGAAAGCAGGGGAUCACUUGUGACCUUGCGCUAAUAGAUGAGCCUAAGUCGGAUUAGCUAGUUGGUGGGGUAAAGGCCUACCAAGGCGACGAUCUGCAGCGGGUCUGAGAGGAUGAUCCGGCACACUGGGACUGGGACACGGCCCAGACUCCGACGGGAGGCAGCAGUGGGGAAUAUUGGACAAUGGGGGUAACCCCGAUCCAGCCAUGCCGCGUGUGUGAAGAAGGCUUUAUGGUUGUAAAGCACUUUACGCGAGGAGGAGGCUCUUUUGGUUAAUACCCAAGAUGAGUGGACGUUACUCGCAGAAUAAGCACCGGCUAACUCUGUGCCAGCAGCCGCCGUAA
RNAcentral lists this ribosomal RNA (503 nucleotides) under uncultured bacterium. RNAcentral describes it as "partial 16S ribosomal RNA". It matches the Rfam family "Bacterial small subunit ribosomal RNA", at positions 30 to 523 of the family's 1533-position model. The record is from RNAcentral.